CCCUAUGGGGUGCAGCAGGCGAGAAAACUUUGCAAUGUGCGAAAGCACGACAAGGUUAAUCCGAGUGGUUUCUGCUAAAGGAACCUUUUGACAGUCCUAGAAACACUGUUGAAUAAGGGGUGGGCAAGUUCUGGUGUCAGCCGCCGCGGUAAAACCAGCACCUCAAGUUGUCAGGAUGAUUAUUGGGCCUAAAGCAUCCGUAGCCGGCUCUGUUAGUUUUCGGUUAAAUCUGUACGCUUAACGUACAGGCUGCCGGGAAUACUGCAGAGCUAGGGAGUGGGAGAGGUAGACGGUACUCGGUAGGAAGGGGUAAAAUCCUUUGAUCUAUUGAUGACCACCUGUGGCGAAGGCGGUCUACCAGAACACGUCCGACGGUGAGGGAUGAAAGCUGGGGGAGCAAACCGGAUUAGAUACCCGGGUAGUCCCAGCUGUAAACUAUGCAAACUCAGUGAUGCAUUGGCUUGUGGCCAAUGCAGUGCUGCAGGGAAGCCGUUAAGUUUGCCGCCUGGGAAGUACGUACGCAAGUAUGAAACUUAAAGGAAUUGGCGGGGGAGCACCACAAGGGGUGAAGCCUGCGGUUCAAUUGGAGUCAACGCCAGAAAUCUUACCCGGAGAGACAGCAGAAUGAAGGUCAAGCUGAAGACUUUACCAGACAAGCUGAGAGGUGGUGCAUGGCC
RNAcentral lists this ribosomal RNA (677 nucleotides) under uncultured archaeon. RNAcentral's name for it is "bacterial SSU rRNA". It matches the Rfam family "Archaeal small subunit ribosomal RNA", at positions 321 to 999 of the family's 1478-position model. The record is from RNAcentral.